This is a long non-coding RNA of Eriocheir sinensis (Chinese mitten crab), 1760 nucleotides long. RefSeq lists it as uncharacterized. NCBI's taxonomy places the organism in Eukaryota, Metazoa, Arthropoda, Malacostraca, Decapoda, Varunidae. The record is from RefSeq and is a predicted model, not a curated record. The transcript is spliced from 2 exons.
CUCUCUCUCUCUCUCUCUCUCUCUCUCUCUCUCUCUCUCUCUCUCUCUCUCUCUCUCUCUCUCUCUCUCUCUCUCUCUUUCUUUUCCUCUCCAUUUUGUAAGCGUCAACGACAUCUCUCAUUCACGACAUUAAUGACAUCACUUAUAUUUCCAUUUAUCCAUCACUCUCAAUCUAUCAAUCUAUCGAUCUAUUGCAAAUGUCCCUCGAUUCUUUCCAUUCAUUUAGUCCUUUAUUCUUUCUCCUCUUUUGCGUUUUACCGCCCAAAGACUCACUGCACUUAUAUUUGAAUACUUUUUAGACGUAGCAAGUGCCCCUCGAAUCCUCCCUAUCCCCUUAGUUUAGCGGGAAUCACAACUAUAACAAUAAAACAACUUCCAUAAUAAUAACAACAACAACAACAACACUAACACGAAAAGCAUCCAUCCAUAAUUUUUCAGGCGCACUUUCGAUUAACGCGAGGAGGAGGAGGAGGAGGAGGAGGAGGAGGAGGAGGAGGGCUACAUACAUAAACUUUACGAGCCAGCCAACCUUCCCUUCUCAUUACCAAAGUCUCGAGCUGAUUACAUUGCCACUGAACGCCGCGCUAAUGACCCAAAUUAACAAACGCGCUGAAGGAGAGGACGGAAAAAAAGGGGAGGAGGACAAUAUUGGGAGGGGGGCAAGGGAGGGGGGUCAGGGGUGGGGAUGAUACUAUUUUUAUCUCCGUAAUGACAUAAUGAGAUCACGCCCGCCAUGUUGCCUGACGUCACGCUAACAGGCUCCAUCGCUUGGCACCGCUGGACGAAAGGAAGGGAAGGGAAUGGAAGGGAGAGAACAGGAGAAUGAGGUCGGUACUGUCACACGCUUCCACCCCUCACACCAACUAUUUUCAAAGGCCAAAAGGAGGUCUGUUGGGUUAACAUGAGUGUGUUUUUAGGUUCGUGGUACAGAGAAAGGGUAAAGCUACCACCAGGGUCAUAAAACUACUACUGGAAAGGCCAAAAAGAAGGUCUAUUGGGUUAUCAUGAGUGUGUUUUUAGGUUCGUGGUACAGAGGAAGCGUCGAACUACCAUCAGGGUCAUAAAACUACCCCUGGAAACGCCCAAAACUCCCAUGAAAGCCUUGUCAAAUAUGUGUACUUGGGCGCGGAAGUGUUUGAGAAUGGGAGGCUUAGGGGGGGGAGUGGAAGGAAUAUAUUGAAAUACAUGUGAAGAAGUUAUAUACCAGAGGAGUGGGAGGACCCGCGUUCGAGUCCCGCCCGCUGUUACAAGCUGGCAUUUUUUUCAGUCAUCGCCGAGUGGCCUAAGACUACCCACACGCUGUCCUGAAGACCGUCCGGAUAAUAUGAUAAAAACAGAAUCCAGAACAGGAGGAGGAGGUCUGUUUUUGGCGCCGCAACUGCAGGAAAAUGAAACAAUCUUCCUUUCUUCAUAUAUUCUCAUCUUCCAUUUUUGUUUUGGUUAUUCAAUAUGAUUAUUUUUCCUUCCCUUGCUUCUCCUUCUCAUUUUUUUUUUUUACCCCAUCUGACGACUCACUUAUAUAAUUUCCAUCUCUCUCUCUCUCUCUCUCUCUCUCUCUCUCUCUCUCUCUCUCUCUCUCUCUCUCUCUCUCUCUCUCUCUCUCUCUCUCUCUCUCUCUCUCUCUAACGAUCUAUUUCUCAAUCUAUUUAUCUAUCUAUCUCUGUAUUUCUCUUUCCUUUCUAUUCUGCACGCGUCAACUCUCUCUCUCUCUCUCUCUCUCUCUCUCUCUCUCUCUCUCUCUCUCUCUCUCUCUCUCUCUC